UCUGAAAAGGGUUUGGGCCUGAGCCUCUCUGACUCCAGGACCUGGAGAGGGGGUCAGGGCCCAGGGACAGCAGCCAAGCCCACCAGGGACAAGAACCCCAGUUUGCAACACCCUUACUCUUCCCGGGCAUCCCAGGAGACCCUGAAGAUUUCCCUGAAAGAGGAGAAGGCUGUGGGCCUCAGGCAACAGGAGCUGGUGCAGAAGCUUCAAGAGGAGAUCAAGACAUUGAAUCAGUGGCUGCAAAAUAAAUCCUCGGAGCUGGAGGGGAAAUCCGCGGAUCUGGAGAAGAAAUCCACGGAUCUGCAGGAAGUAUACACGGAGCUGGAGAAACUAAGAAAAGAGAAUGAGGCCUUGGUCUCUGCCAAGGGUCCCCCCGACUCCGGGAUCUGCCUCAUUCUCUACGGGGCCGCAGUGCUCCUGAGUCUCCUGGCUCUGCUGGUCUGUUGUCUCAGGACGUGUGCC
Long non-coding RNA from Myotis davidii, 462 nucleotides. RefSeq lists it as uncharacterized. Lineage: Eukaryota; Metazoa; Chordata; Mammalia; Chiroptera; Vespertilionidae. The record is from RefSeq and is a predicted model, not a curated record. The transcript is spliced from 3 exons.